CCCUUAGAUGUUCUGGGCCGCACGCGUGCUACACUGAGUGGAUCAGCGGGUCAGGUUGCGCGAAAGCGUUUCCUAAUCUUUAAAUCCGCUCGUGAUGGGGAUUGACGGUUGCAAUUUUCUGUCAUGAACGAGGAAUACCUUGUAAGCGCGGGUCAUCAUCCCGCGCUGAAUACGUCCCUGCCCUUUGUACACACCGCCCGUCGCUCCUACCGAUUGAGCGUUUUGGUGAGCACUCUGGAGUGCAGCAAUGCAUAAAUGAAUGCAAACCUGAGCGUUUAGAGGAAGGAUAAGUCGUAACA
RNAcentral lists this ribosomal RNA (299 nucleotides) under uncultured eukaryote. Its description in RNAcentral is "partial 18S ribosomal RNA". It matches the Rfam family "Eukaryotic small subunit ribosomal RNA", at positions 1470 to 1796 of the family's 1831-position model. The record is from RNAcentral.